This is a long non-coding RNA of Triticum aestivum (bread wheat), 3634 nucleotides long. RefSeq lists it as uncharacterized. The record is from RefSeq and is a predicted model, not a curated record. Lineage: Eukaryota; Viridiplantae; Streptophyta; Magnoliopsida; Poales; Poaceae. The transcript is spliced from 5 exons.
AAAGCGAACAGCGAGAGAAAAGGGGAAGCGAGCGGCCAGCACGAGAAAAAAGACCUAGCCCGCGCCCCCGCAGCCGCCUCCUCUCCUGCCGCCGCCGCCUCGUCCUCGUCUCGUUUCUUGCCCUCAGCGCCGCCUCCUCUCCUUCCUCUCUCUCCCUCUGCGCCACCUCCUCUUCUCUUCAUGCGUGGUGGCGUCUCGUCAUCCCCAGCCUCCUCAAUCCCCUCCUCCCGCACGAACCCUAGCAGAGAGAGAAGAUGAGAGGGAGAGAGAAGGAAGGAGAGGAGAGGAGGGAGAAAGAGAGAUGAAAGAGGAGAGGGAGGUGUGGCGGCUGACGGGAGAGGGUCAUCGGCCGGCGUCGGCCUGCGCCGGCGAGGUCGGGCGCGACCUGGCGGUUGGCGACGACUCGAUCCGUUCCUGGAUUGGGAGCUGCGAGGAGGCUGGGGCUCGGGCGCGAUGCACGGGAGGCUGCACCCCGCCUCCAUCUCCACGCGUGCGGCGGCGACCUCGGGAGGAGCUCGAGCCACAACGGUGGUCCACGGCGCCGGCGUCAGCAGGAGGAGCGUCGGCCGCAGAAACGGCCGGCUCCGUUCGGUUUUCGCGCAGGAGAGUAUUGCAGGGUGGUGUUGCUUAGCAAGCUUGCCUGCAGUAUGCAGUUUUAUACCAAUUUUUGUGUUCGCUAAUAGUUUUGGUUUGAUUGAUUCAAGUUUUUGAUUUAUGCACAUACAUAUUGUAGAGUGUAUUGUCCCCUAGCAGACUUGAUUUUAAUAUUCUAUAUGCAGCUUUGAGACAAGUGACUAUUCUCUGGUAGUCAACUAACUCAUGGGUAAAUUAGAUGUCACAGCCAAAAACAUUUAUAUAGAUAAAUCAUUGUGCAUUUUACAGGGCAAUGCUUAGAUGUUAUGAUGUUUUGUAGGAACAAGCAUGUGAUUCCCCUUGAGUGCCAGGCAGCAGCAAGGCAGAGCAGAUCGAGUGGUAAAAGCGGUGGUGCUGUGUGACAUCCUUGCGCUGGCUCCCGUCGAUCUUAAUGAAGGUCCUGCCUGACUCAUGGUUGUCAAGCCAAACAAGUCAGUAUUGCAUCUAAGUAAUGCUAUGUAUUCUAUCAGCGCCUACUCCUAAACUACCAGAUCAUGCCUGCUGUUUACAAGAUCAUGCCUGCUGUUUAUAAGUGGAUUAUUAGGCCUUUCGUUGGUCGUAUGAACUUUGGGACUUUCGGGUCUUCUGUUAAAGAUGAUGUAGAAUGCAGUGAAAUUGUUCAUGCCCUCGAUGAAGAGCAUUUAUAUAUCUCAGUUUUUUAUGGUUAAUUAACUAGAGAACUCAUCCAAGAGCAUUUAGAUAUCUCAGCUUUUUUCCCUCACAUGGAUUACUCAUAUUCCUGCCUAAAAAUGACCGCUUCCUUUUGUUAUUUGGAUCAGCUGAAGGCAUGCUCAGAUCAUCAAAUUAAGGUACAUUCAAGCUACAACUGACUUCGCGUCAAAGCAUUUACGUAUCAUUAUUAGAUUUAUGUGAUGUUCUUCAAGUGUGAUUGUGUGUUGAAUUUUUCAUAUUUGAUUGGAAUCACCAUCUGUUUGUGGCCACGGGUGAGUUUGCAUUGGCUUAGAAAAAUUGCCGCUCAUUUUUUUUACUUACGAGUAUCCUGAUCUCCAGACUAUUGCUACUUUCCUUUUUCCUUUUGUUGCUCCUCAAUUUAUUAUGACUCUUGAUUUCUAUGCAUGUGUGCAGGUGGCUUCUCUAUUGGCACAGCAUGUCCCAUCUGGUUUUAGGAAUUGGCUGGACUUCUUCCUUGUUCUGAGUGUUUGAUGCUGUAAUUUUUUCUUGGGUUUUCUCUCUUCUCCUUGUUGCUACCUUAGUUCAGUCUUUUGUUCGUGCUCUUUCUCUAGAGAUUUCCUUUUAGUUCUAAUGGUUUGAGCCGUAGAAGUUAGUGUACAGUCCUAUAUUUGGCUUCCAUGGCUCCUAAAUGGAGAGCUGGACAUGCUUGGUUGGAGUCGCUGAGCUUACUGUCCCAUGUCUCCUGGUUGUGAGAGUUGAAUCUGGUUAGUUGGAAUUAUAAAGAUCAGCAUGCAGUCCGUCCACGCCUCCUAAUUAGAUAGUUGUGCUUGGUUAGGGAGAUGCUUUUGGCUAAUUACAAUAUCUUGUCAUAGAAUUUUAUAAUUGUUUUGUACUUUUGUCAUAGAACUGGUUUUGCCAUAUCAUCUAUGAAUCCUUUUUGUUAAUUACAAUAUCCUGUGAUAGAAUUUUAUAAUGGUUUGUUCAAAUGCCUAGGAUGGGAUGCCAGAUCAUGUUAACUAUAAAAGUUUUUCUCUCCAAUCAGUUUCUGUAAGAUGAUGUGGAGAUAUUCAUAUGUGGAGCUCCUAAUCUAGCUAAUUUAACUAUGGAAAAUAUAUUGUUUACUCUACCUUAUGGGCCUAAUUUCCUAAAAAUAGGGGACAUUGUGAUAUAUACCAAUGACUGUUCAAAAUAUCAUCCAAGAGAGGCAGUAGCAGGAGAGAGGCGGUAGCAGCAAACCAAAGCAAAGGAAGAUUAACUCCUUUUUACUAUUGGCUUAUAACCUUUUGUUUUGUGUGAUUGUGCUCAGGUAUGUGAAGGAUUAGGGCUUAGGGCACUUGAUGCCAGCGAGUUGGAGUUUGCUUGGUUACAUAUGCAGGUCUUUGGAAUCUGAAACUUCUAUGUGGUGAUGAGCUUCUGCUCAUCUUGAUUGAUUCAUCUCCAGUGAAGGAACACAGAGUUGUGCAGCCGGUGGUGUCUUGACCAAGGGUUGUUGUGAUGAACAUCCAUCGAUGGUACUGCCUCCUCCUCCGUAUCAUGCCCAGGUUCUCUGCUCGUCGAACAUAUAAAGGCGCAACCAUUGUGAUGUUUGCUUCCUGCCAUUAGAGCAAAGUUGCCUGAAUAAAAACAUCAGUAGUUUCCCCCUUUUAGCUUUGACGCGGUGUUAUGGUUGUACAAGUGUAUAGCAAUAGUAAGAUGUAGAUUUUUUGGGAAACGUGAGUGUGCGAUUAAUCCGAGCAGAGCCUUGCGCCACUACAAAAUGGUGAGGUAUUUCCAUGCCCACUGAAAUAGCAAACUUUAGGAUCGACCGGGCGCAUCAGUGACUUGAAGGGGAUAGCGCCAAGAGAAGAAAACAAUGGGGCGUGGUCUUCUGGAGGUGCAUCUGGUCCACGCCAAGGGCCUCUCUGGCAGCGAUUUCCUUGAUAGACCUGUGUGGUCGUUAGGUGCCGGAGCCAGGAGCACAAGGGCAACACCGCACUGAGGUCAGUGCCUCCAUAGCUCUCUGGUUUUUAGUUUCGUUACUCAUCUAUGUUCAAAGUGAUUGUAAUGUAUGCCUUGGUCUGCUCUGUUCAGUUCCAUAGGGAAUUUCUUGCCAUUGGCACGACCAGUAUUUACUAUGCAAGCAGACAAUAGUUGUUACAUUCCUGCCAACUAUAUGAAUCUCACAGCUUCUCACAUGUACCAUCCUCUUAGACUUUUAGAUUUCCAAAGAAACUAAAUGAAGAUAUGGUGGCCUGGUCUCAAUAGUACAACUUAAAGCAUUCCAUGCUUUAUAUUUUUUUCUGAAAUUUGCUUUUGAAGAAUCAUGUAUCUAUGUUAGAUCCGGUGAGAAAAGGCGGCUUCCCAGCAGAGGAUGCGACAGUGUUGGCCA